GAUGAACGCUGGCGGCGUGCCUAAUACAUGCAAGUCGAGCGAACGGACGAGACGCUUGCUUCUCUGAUGUUAGCGGCGGACGGGUGAGUAACACGUGGAUAACCUACCUAUAAGACUGGGAUAACUUCGGGAAACCGGAGCUAAUACCGGAUAAUAUUUUGAACCGCAUGGUUCAAAAGUAAAAGACGGUCUUGCUGUCACUUAUAGAUGGAUCCGCGCUGCAUUAGCUAGUUGGUAAGGUAACGGCUUACCAAGGCAACGAUGCAUAGCCGACCUGAGAGGGUGAUCGGCCACACUGGAACUGAGACACGGUCCAGACUCCUACGGGAGGCAGCAGUAGGGAAUCUUCCGCAAUGGUCGAAAGCCUGACGGAGCAACGCCGCGUGAGUGAUGAAGGUCUUCGGAUCGUAAAACUCUGUUAUUAGGGAAGAACAUAUGUGUAAGUAACUGUGCACAUCUUGACGGUACCGAAUCAGAAAGCCACGGCUAACUACGUG
RNAcentral lists this ribosomal RNA (497 nucleotides) under uncultured bacterium. RNAcentral's name for it is "partial 16S ribosomal RNA". It matches the Rfam family "Bacterial small subunit ribosomal RNA", at positions 28 to 507 of the family's 1533-position model. The record is from RNAcentral.